GAAGCGCGAAAUGUAGUGUGAAUCGCAGAACUUUGUGAAUCAUCGAAUCUUUGAACGCACAUUGCGCCUCCUCGACGAGGCAUGCCUGUCUGAGCGUCGUUUAAACCGAAAUGGAGCCCCCCCUGGGGUUUCGUGCUGGGCCGUCGCCCUAGGAGCGUCGCCUCAAAGACAUCGGUCUCGCCGAGCGGAUGAGUUCCUCUAGGACCGACCGCGCGACGGGCCGCGACUCUCUCGAUCUCGACCUCAGAUCAGGUAGGACCACCGCCUGAACUUAA
Molecule: unclassified non-coding RNA, 275 nt
Filed under: uncultured Ascomycota
Lineage: Eukaryota; Fungi; Ascomycota
Description: sequence contains ITS1
Rfam family: 5.8S ribosomal RNA (bases 1-99)
Source: RNAcentral